RNAcentral lists this ribosomal RNA (725 nucleotides) under uncultured archaeon. Its description in RNAcentral is "bacterial SSU rRNA". It matches the Rfam family "Archaeal small subunit ribosomal RNA", at positions 326 to 1053 of the family's 1478-position model. The record is from RNAcentral.
CGGGGUGCAGCAGGCGCGAAACCUCUGCAAUAGGCGAAAGCCUGACAGGGUUACUCUGAGUGAUCUCCGUUAAGGAGAUCUUUUGGCACCUCUAAAAAUGGUGCAGAAUAAGGGGUGGGCAAGUCUGGUGUCAGCCGCCGCGGUAAUACCAGCACCCCGAGUGGUCGGGACGUUUAUUGGGCCUAAAGCAUCCGUAGCCGGUUCUACAAGUCUUCCGUUAAAUCCAGCUGCUUAACAGAUGGGCUGCGGAAGAUACUAUGGAGCUAGGAGGCGGGAGAGGCAAGCGGUACUCGAUGGGUAGGGGUAAAAUCCGUUGAUCCAUUGAAGACCACCAGUGGCGAAGGCGGCUUGCCAGAACGCGCUCGACGGUGAGGGAUGAAAGCUGGGGGAGCAAACCGGAUUAGAUACCCGGGUAGUCCCAGCUGUAAACGAUGCAGACUCGGUGAUGAGUUGGCUACAUGCCAUCUCAGUGCCGCAGGGAAGCCGUUAAGUUUGCCGCCUGGGGAGUACGGUCGCAAGACUGAAACUUAAAGGAAUUGGCGGGGGAGCACCACAAGGGGUGAAGCCUGCGGUUCAAUUGGAGUCAACGCCGGAAAUCUUACCGGGGGCGACAGCAGUAUGAAGGUCAAGCUGAAGACUUUACCAGACAAGCUGAGAGGAGGUGCAUGGCCGUCGCCAGCUCGUGCCGUGAGGUGUCCUGUUAAGUCAGGUAACGAGCGAGACCC